This 699-nucleotide long non-coding RNA is filed under the name Homo sapiens (human). RNAcentral's name for it is "HSALNT0013299". The record is from RNAcentral. Lineage: Eukaryota; Metazoa; Chordata; Mammalia; Primates; Hominidae.
GAAACUGAGUGGGAAUGUGCUUUCUUGCUGCUUCACCUCCAUUAUCCCCAGAUGUAAACCCCUCCCAACACUGGAAGAGGAAACAGAGACCAGUGCGCUGUGCAGUCUCACUUAACUAGAAUGCACAACUCCUGCUUUUAUCACCAUUCUGGGAAAUCCCCGCUGCAUUUCAUGGCCAGGGCAGCACUUCAUAGUUGGAAAAGGAUGGUGUGGACUUGCCGCAGAGGCCCUAGAGAAGGCCAUCCUGUGUUCCUGCUCUCCUUCUCAUCCGGCUUCUACCCCCACCCCACCCCCCAACAAAAACGCUACAGGUUAUAAGAUCUACAUUCUGAACCUGGCUUUCAGGGGCUAGGUGUGUUGUGUGUUGCACAGCUCUAGAGGUAGCAUAGCCUUGAUCAUCGGGGUGGAGGUGUCUAUUUACUAUAUGUUGCAGCAGAUGGCAGUGAAGUGUCUUGAGGAAGAGGUGUUUUUAUCAUUUGAAGGUUAUGGGGUGUAAUAAUAAAGACUGCAAUUCACAGACCUUGAGCCUAGCAGGCCAAUGCCAAGGGCAGAACUGUAGGCUCCCACAGCACAGUUCCACAGAGGAAGGGGGCUGGUUAGUAAGGGGAAAGAAGGAUAGAAGACUGCAGUAAAUGUAAACAGCCGUAUUUUCAACAUAAUUUACUACAGGUCUCUGAAGUGUAUAUAAAAUGUUUUAGU